Molecule: ribosomal RNA, 329 nt
Filed under: uncultured bacterium
Lineage: Bacteria
Description: bacterial SSU rRNA
Rfam family: Bacterial small subunit ribosomal RNA
Source: RNAcentral
UGCGCAGGCGGUUAUGUAAGUCAGAUGUGAAAUCCCCGGGCUUAACCUGGGAAUGGCAUUUGAGACUGCAUGGCUAGAGUGUGUCAGAGGGGGUAGAAUUCCACGUGUAGCAGUGAAAUGCGUAGAGAUGUGGAGGAAUACCGAUGGCGAAGGCAGCCCCCUGGGAUAACACUGACGCUCAUGCACGAAAGCGUGGGGAGCAAACAGGAUUAGAUACCCUGGUAGUCCACGCCCUAAACGAUGUCUACUAGUUGUCGGGACUCAAUUGUCUUGGUAACGCAGCUAACGCGUGAAGUAGACCGCCUGGGGAGUACGGUCGCAAGAUUAAA